AGUGGGAUUGCCAUGGGCGCAGCCUGAUGCAGCCAUGCCGCGUGUGUGAAGAAGGCCUUCGGGUUGUAAAGCACUUUCAGUCGUGAGGAAGGUUUAUGCGUUAAUAGCGUAUAGAUUUGACGUUAGCGACAGAAGAAGCACCGGCUAACUCCGUGCCAGCAGCCGCGGUAAUACGGAGGGUGCGAGCGUUAAUCGGAAUUACUGGGCGUAAAGCGCAUGCAGGUGGUUUGUUAAGUCAGAUGUGAAAGCCCGGGGCUCAACCUCGGAAUUGCAUUUGAAACUGGCAGACUAGAGUACUGUAGAGGGGGGUAGAAUUUCAGGUGUAGCGGUGAAAUGCGUAGAGAUCUGAAGGAAUACCGGUGGCGAAGGCGGCCCCCUGGACAGAUACUGACACUCAGAUGCGAAAGCGUGGGGAGCAAACAGGAUUAGAUACCCUGGUAGUCCACGCCGUAAACGAUGUCUACUUGGAGGUUGUGGCCUUGAGCCGUGGCUUUCGGAGCUAACGCGUUAAGUAGACCGCCUGGGGAGUACGGUCGCAAGAUUAAAACUCAAAUGAAUUGACGGGGGCCCGCACAAGCGGUGGAGCAUGUGGUUUAAUUCGAUGCAACGCGAAGAACCUUACCUACUCUUGACAUCCAGAGAACUUUCCAGAGAUGGAUUGGUGCCUUCGGGAACUCUGAGACAGGUGCUGCAUGGCUGUCGUCAGCUCGUGUUGUGAAAUGUUGGGUUAAGUCCCGCAACGAGCGCAACCCUUAUCCUUGUUUGCCAGCGAGUAAUGUCGGGAAC
Molecule: ribosomal RNA, 786 nt
Filed under: Vibrio sp. YASM-25
Lineage: Bacteria; Pseudomonadati; Pseudomonadota; Gammaproteobacteria; Vibrionales; Vibrionaceae
Description: bacterial SSU rRNA
Rfam family: Bacterial small subunit ribosomal RNA
Source: RNAcentral